GACGAACGCUGGCGGCGUGCUUAACACAUGCAAGUCGAGCGGUAAGGCCCUUCGGGUACGACGAGCGGCGAACGGGUGAGUAACACGUGGGUGACCUGCCUCUAGCUCUGGGAUAAGCCUGGGAAACUGGGUCUAAUACCGGAUAUGACUCCACGGCGCAUGUUGUGGGGUGGAAAGCCUUGUGUGGCUAGAGAUGGGCCCGCGGCCUAUCAGCUUGUUGGUGGGGUGAUGGCCUACCAAGGCGACGACGGAUAGCCGGCCUGAGAGGGCGGACCGGCCACACUGGGA
This 288-nucleotide ribosomal RNA is filed under the name uncultured bacterium. RNAcentral describes it as "partial 16S ribosomal RNA". It matches the Rfam family "Bacterial small subunit ribosomal RNA", at positions 28 to 318 of the family's 1533-position model. The record is from RNAcentral.